Molecule: long non-coding RNA, 1266 nt
Filed under: Homo sapiens (human)
Lineage: Eukaryota; Metazoa; Chordata; Mammalia; Primates; Hominidae
Description: long non-coding RNA NONHSAT157426.1
Source: RNAcentral
GCAGCCCAGACGACCCAUGGCUAGGGUAAAGCUGGUGCUGUCCUAGAAAUUGGGUCUCCCCUCCCAGAUCCAGGCUGCCUCCUGCAGGCUGCAGGACUCUGACAUCCAGCCAUCUCAAUAUUCCAGAGAAGAGGAUGAGUGUGAAGGGUGGUGGCGAUUUUAAACAAGGUGAUCAGGAAGACCUUGUGGAUAACUUCGGGUCUGAGCACACUCCAUCAGGGGGUGACUUCUCUUCGCCCAUCCGACAUGCACUGCUUACUGAAAAAGGUCCAAGGCUGUCUGGCACAGGCCCCCCAUCAUUUUCUCAAGCUGCAACAAAUGUCUCCAAAACCUGGACAGGCAGACAUCUAGGCAGGGCCUAUUGGUCUGGACAUCUCAGAACCUCCCCAAAUUCUGCUUUCUUCAUCGCCAUCAGGUUUCCGUAGCAACCAGAGGACUUCACAGGAGAGAGUGAAGGGGAAUUAAGAGCCAGAGAGAGCAGAGGAGAGAGGAGGAGGUCCGGAAGAUGCCUGGCUUGGGACCCGAGAGUGGCAGAAUAGCAAAGCCUGCAGCAGCCACAGCACUGUGGUCCUGAGACCCAGGCCAACUUCCUAGAGGACUGGUCGGUGACUUCAGAGGGUAGGGGUGGCCUGGGCCAACACCCAAUUCCAGCUGUCCCUCUGCCCCCAUACAUGCAGCCCCCCGAAAACCCAGAUUCCAAAACCACCUUCUUGGACUCUUCCCUGUUUCUAGCUUCUGACAUUCAAUCAUCUCAAUAUGACAAAUAUCACCAAGUCCUGCAGAAUAUUUCUUCACAAAGAACUGCCCCCUGUCCCAUCAUAAAGACACCUGGGCCACCCCAUGCUCUUCCAACCCAUCUCCCUGCCCAGUCUCUCCCUGGGCUUUUUCUAUACCCUCCCCCUCCCGCCCUCUGCAAGGAGCCCUUGGUAAUGAAGAGCAAACUCAUAACUGCCGGAUAGUCUCACCAUUACUCCCGUUAUUUGGAACCUCUUCACUGCAACGUGACCUUGUUUAUGUGAGUUUAGCUCUCUGAGACUCAGUUUCCUCAAAUGCAAUAUGAUAAGGUAGGAGUAUCUGAUCCCUACUGUCCCUUCCAGAUAAAAUAUUAUGCAAAUCCAUGCUGUUUGUAAAAAGGAAGGAAUUUUCCAAGCACUGUAUGGUGGUGUGUGGGGAGAGCACCAAUGGUAUUGGUGGUUGAAAGAGAUUUUCAGAGACUCCAGCUCAACUCUAACUUGUGGGUUAGUAAACUAUGGCCUGGAGGCCAAA